GAUGAAGAACGCAGCAAAAUGCGAUAAGUAAUGUGGAUUGCAGAAUUCAGUGAAUCAUCGAAUCUUUGAACGCACAUUGCGCCCGCCAGUAUUCUGGCGGGCAUGCCUGUUCGAGCGUCAUUUCAACCCUCAAGCACAGCUUGGUGUUGGGACUCGCGUUAAUUCGCGUUCCCCAAAUUGAUUGGCGGUCACGUCGAGCUUCCAUAGCGUAGUAGUAAAACCCUCGUUACUGGUAAUCGUCGCGGCCACGCCGUUAAACCCCAACUUCUGAAUGUUGACCUCGGAUCAGGUAGGAAUACCCGCUGAACUUAAGCAUAUCAAUAAGCGGAGGA
RNAcentral lists this unclassified non-coding RNA (332 nucleotides) under soil metagenome. RNAcentral describes it as "partial contains 5.8S ribosomal RNA, internal transcribed spacer 2, and large subunit ribosomal RNA". The stretch from base 1 to 120 matches the Rfam family "5.8S ribosomal RNA", at positions 35 to 154 of the family's 154-position model. The record is from RNAcentral.